UAUCACUCAGGAGCUGUGUGACCUUGGGCUAGAAGUGAAGCUCUCUGAAUUUCAGUUUCCUCGCCUGAAGGUUGGGAUUAAUAGCAGCUCUAAGUUAUUCUAAGAACAACACGGGAUUCACUCCGUAAAGUGGCUGAUGUGCUGUCGGCGGUUCUGAAUGGGUUCAGCAAAUGUUAGGUGCUUUUGUUAUUACACAUUAGGAAGUGAGACUACAUAUUCAUUCGUUCAUUCAUUCCAUCCAUGAUUACUGACUUUCACUACGUCAUAGACACCAUUCUAGAAGCUGAACAUAAAGUUCUGCCCUCAUGGUGCUUACGUGGUAGUGAGGGACACAGAUGAUCCGCAGGACCCUGCAUGAUAUACAUGGCUCUUGACCUGGGCUGUGCCACGACCACAGUCCCCAGCCAGCAGCGGUGUCACCUGGGAGCUGACCAGGAGGAAUGCAGAGUCUCAGUCCCACCCCAAACUGCAAGGCCCACUUGGAACCUGCACAGAGGAAGAGUGCUCAUGGCCGCUUUACCUGCCUUUGAGUCUGCCAGCUCCAGCUCCAGCAAGACCCCCUGCCCCUUCCUUCUACAGUGAAGGCCAUCCUUUCCACUUGCAGACAGCACUGAAGUCCCUUUGGCAGCAGCAGCUGCAGUGGGGAUGAGAGCUUGCAGGGACCCACCCUCACUCCUUGGUCCAAUUCUCCUGACUCAUAGCUCUCACCAAGGAAGGAAGCUGUCUCUGGAGAGGCUCAGCUCUCGAAUACUGGCCUUAAUGUUCCUCUAGCCAAGAUGGCACCUGUCAAGUCUACCUCCUUCCCAACUGUAUAAUUAUAAAUCUCCAGGCCACAACUGUGUAAGAAAAUAAAAUCUGUUUACUAAACAUGAGCUUGCAACUUUCAGUGAAGCACCACUGGCAAAUACUGUAGAGUGAUUAGGCAUCUGGGUCUUUAGACACACAGUGGGGACUGGUGCUAUGGUGUAGUGGGUGAAGCUGCCACCUGCAGUGCCAGCAUCCCAUCCCAUAUGGACGCCAGUUCGAGUCCUGGCUGCUCCACUUCUGAUAUGACUCUCUGCUGUGGCCUGGGAAAGCAGUAGAAGAUGGCAUAGUGGGUAAAGCCACCAUCUGCAAUGCUUGCAUCCUAUAUGGGCACCAGUUUGAGUCCUGGCUGCUCCAUUUCUGAUCCAGUUCUUUUCUAAGGCCUGGGAAGGCAGUAGAAGAUGGCCCAAGUCCUUGGGCCCCUGUACCUACAUGGGAGACCUGGAAGAAACUCCUGGCUCCUGGCUUUGGAUUAGCACAGUUCUGGCCUUUGUGGCAAAGUGGGGAGUGAAUCAGUGGAUGGGAAGACCUACCUCUCUCUCUCUCUCGCUCUCUCUCUCUCUGCCUCUCCUUCUCUGUGUAACUCUGACUUUCAAAUAAAUAAAUAAAUCUUAAAAAAAAGACACACACUGGUUUUAAACCCCAGCUCAGUCAUGCUAGCUCACCCCUAGCUCCAGUUGUUUUUUCCUCUCUUUUUUCUUUGUCUGAAACUGGGGAAAGGAGAAUGGUAGAGUAUCUACUUCUCAGGUAAUACAUUUAAUGAAUUUUUGCAAGUCUGAAAUAAACUAAGCAUUCUAAAACUGGUAGUGGUCCCCACAGUUCCUGUUUCCUGUGUAUCCAGUUGUACAGCAAGCUACACUAACAAGAAAAACACCCCUGAGAAGACAGGACCCAACUUCAGUUAAGGGAAUAUGAAGAGAGGUUCUGCCGCUCGUAGGGAUGAGAGAUGGUAAAACUCAACUGGAGAGAUGACGUGAGAAUGCAGAGGAGCACACACAUGCAGGAGAGGUUUCUGAAAUAGGGCCCCGAGGACUUUGAGAUCUCUUGUGUACAACGGGGAAGGAAACAAAGAGUUGAGAUUUCUUAUCCUGUUCUUGCAUGAAUGGUUACGACCACACUCCACAGGAACAUGGAGAAAGUUUCAUGAGAAAGGAUGAGAAGUUCAGUGGUAGUCUAUGACCUUUAGGGGAAUACACGUUCUGAACAAGAAAUGUGCAGUUCUUUAGCAUGCAGGUUAAAUAAACAUUUAAAAAUGCUCCAGAAUCAUUAGUCAGCAGCUAUGCUAGGUACAAGUACAGUGAGACACUAGCAUGGCUCUAUCUAAAAGGACAGACAAUGCCAAGAGUCAGUGAAGAGACUGUAGGUGGGAGUGCAAACUGAUAUGACCACUUUGGGAAAAAUUCUGGCAGUAUUUUUGAAAGCUGACAUGUGUUAGUAAUUCUACUUCUGAUGACAUACAUGGCUGAAAUGAAUGCUCGCCCACAAAAACACAGGUAUGAAAAUGCUCACAGUGAUAUUAUUCACAAAAACUGGUAGCAAGCCAACUGUCCUAAACAUAAAAUGAAAAACUAAAAUAGAAAUAUUAUGUCACCUAUUGAAUAAAAUACUGAAUAUCACAGACAAAAUAUUAACCAAAAUAUCCGGAGCCACACAUAGAAAAGUUCUGAUUGGCAACGUUUACACAAAGUGGAAAAAAAAAAAAAAACAGGCAAACUAAUCAGCAAAAUCUUAAAAAUAAAAAAAGUUACUUCCACUGAAAAUGUAUGUGUUUUACUUUGUGGAGUAUAUACCUCAAUUAAAAAGGAAAUUAAAGAAGGAACACAGGGCUAAAGUAAAUUAAACAAACACAGGGCUGACAUUUUUGAGCAGCUCUUGAAAACUACACACGUAGGGAAACUUGGCAAUUCUGGAAUGCACUGGAACUCUAAGGCUGAAGUGAUUACUUGGUAUGCAAAAUGAGUUGCUGGCUCUAGGAGGACUAUCAGACACUAUUUAAGGUCAUUCUUGGGAUUAAUGGUGAUUUUCGUGUUUGUGAUCCCCGUGGAAUAUGUAAUAAGCCUCCUGAAGGGGCUAAACAGUAUAGGUAGAAGAACUAGAGGGGUGUGUCCUAAUCCCUCCUGAAACACCAGGUAGCUUGGAAGAGCAGUGUGUUCAACACAGGGAUUCCACUACAGGACAUCACUAAGAGAGUGCCGGGACUGGCUAUUCUCCAAGGGGUUCUUCCAAAGGAUGCCCUUAUUGCCACCCAGUUCAAGAGUGACCCAUGAGCUCAGAGUUCCUAGAAAGCAGUAGAUGGUGUGUCUGCCAGAGGUGGGGCUGUGGUGUGGAUUUGUCUCCCAGGAGACCUUUUGUUGAGCUACUUCCUUUCCUGGGCUUCACCUUCCUCAGGUGCAAGAAAUAAGAACCAACCAGCAUUGACCCUUUCUAGUACCAUGAAUUCCAAGAUUCCAUGGUGCUGCAGCUCAAGUGCUUGUCUAUUUGCUAUGUUUAUUUACUAAAUAUUUCUUGAGUACUGACUAUGUACACAUAGACACAACAGCAAACAAGACAGAAAAAGCUCCUGUCUGCAAAGCACUUAGCUUCUAAUGAGGGAAAGAGACAAGCAGACAGAUGAUACAUCCAGGUUAUGUUAGUGACACGAAGACAAUGAUGGACACAAUGUAGGAAGGGCGGAAGUUUGAGGUAGUAUGGCCUAGCACUGUCUCUCCUCCAAGGAACUGAUCUUUAAAUUGAGGUUUGAAUAAUGAGAAGAAACUGGCCACCCUGAGAGCCAUGGGGUGAAUCUGGUACAGAAAAGAAGAGCCAGGUCAAGUGAGAAGCACGCCAGC
Molecule: non-coding RNA, 3632 nt
Organism: Oryctolagus cuniculus (rabbit)
Lineage: Eukaryota; Metazoa; Chordata; Mammalia; Lagomorpha; Leporidae
Source: RefSeq, a predicted model, not a curated record